This 439-nucleotide ribosomal RNA is filed under the name uncultured bacterium. RNAcentral's name for it is "partial 16S ribosomal RNA". It matches the Rfam family "Bacterial small subunit ribosomal RNA", at positions 339 to 795 of the family's 1533-position model. The record is from RNAcentral.
CUACGGGUGGCUGCAGUGAGGAAUAUUGCGCAAUGGGGGAAACCCUGACGCAGCAACGCCGCGUGGAGGAUGACGCAUUUCGGUGUGUAAACUCCUUUUAUAUGUCAAGAAAAUGACGGUAGCAUAUGAAUAAGCACCGGCUAACUCCGUGCCAGCAGCCGCGGUAAUACGGAGGGUGCAAGCGUUACUCGGAAUCACUGGGCGUAAAGGACGCGUAGGCGGGUUGGAAAGUCAGGUGUGAAAUCCUACAGCUUAACUGUAGAACUGCACUUGAAACUUCUAAUCUAGAGUAUGGGAGGGGGAGAUGGAAUUAGUGGUGUAGGGGUAAAAUCCGUAGAUAUCACUAGGAAUACCUAAAGCGAAGGCGAUCUCCUGGAACAUUACUGACGCUAAGGCGUGAAAGCGUGGGGAGCAAACAGGAUUAGAUACCCUCGUAGUC